GACGAACGCUGGCGGCGUGCUUAACACAUGCAAGUCGAACGGUGAUGCUCCAGCUUGCUGGAGUGGAUCAGUGGCGAACGGGUGAGUAACACGUGAGCAACCUGCCCCAGACUCUGGAAUAAGCGCUGGAAACGGCGUCUAAUACUGGAUACGAAACUGGCCCGCAUGGGCAUGGUUUGGAAAGUUUUUCGGUUUGGGAUGGGCUCGCGGCCUAUCAGCUUGUUGGUGAGGUAAUGGCUCACCAAGGCGACGACAGGUAGCCGGCCUGAGAGGGCGACCGGCCACACUGGGACUGAGACACGGCCCAGACUCCUACGGGAGGCAGCAGUGGGGAAUAUUGCACAAUGGGCGAAAGCCUGAUGCAGCGACGCCGCGUGAGGGAUGACGGCCUUCGGGUUGUAAACCUCUUUCAGCAGGGAAGAAGCGAAAGUGGCGGUACCUGCAGAAGAAGCACCGGCUAACUACGUG
RNAcentral lists this ribosomal RNA (468 nucleotides) under uncultured bacterium. RNAcentral's name for it is "partial 16S ribosomal RNA". It matches the Rfam family "Bacterial small subunit ribosomal RNA", at positions 28 to 507 of the family's 1533-position model. The record is from RNAcentral.